This 966-nucleotide long non-coding RNA is filed under the name Cyanistes caeruleus (blue tit). RNAcentral describes it as "lncRNA (ENSCCEG00000018605.1)". The record is from RNAcentral. Lineage: Eukaryota; Metazoa; Chordata; Aves; Passeriformes; Paridae.
GAAUAUCUUUUCACCCCAUGAGGAAUUAGUUUGGUAAAAGUACUUAAUGUUUACAGCAAACAUGUGGUAAACAUAUUCGUUGUUACAGGUUUCUCCGGAGACAGGUGUGUAACACCAUUAGGUCCAAGCCUGAAAAAUUUAGGGGAAAGUUACAAGGUCAUUUGCUAGGUAAUUUAUAUUUAUAUAAAUUUAUAUUGUUUAUAUUGUUUUCCAGCAUAUAUUAACUAGACAUUUUCACUUUACUAGUAUAUGCUGAUAACCAAUGCUGUUCAUGUUUUGUAUAAUAAUGUUCUUUUUCAUUUUUGUUGUAUUAUAUGUGCUAAUGCGUAGGCAGGCAUAUGCAUCACGUGUGCAUACACAGAGUGUUCUGUUGAGAUCCUCACCAGCUAAAAACCGAUAGAACUGACACCAUGAUUUGCAGAUUUCACUGUUAGAUGAGAUCAUCUUAACAGCCUUCUUACAUAAUCCAUGUCUUACUUUUGGCUUACAACACAUUUCUGUUUGACAGGUUGAUUUAGCAGCGACAUCAAUUCCUGCUGCAUGUGCCUGUGUCCCAUCCCCUUGCUUUAGCACCAGUAACUUCCACCUAUUCAAAGUGUCAGAUUCUCCUUACUGUUUCUGAAGCUGGAUGGAAACUGUGGUGCUGUGAUUCAAACAGGGGUGUGCUGUAGGGUUAUGACUCACCGUGACUCAACAUGAACUCAUAAAGCCACAUCAGCCCAGGUCUUCAUGUGAUUUAAAGAUUUCAAGUGGUAGAGGAUCUACAAUGUUCCUUAUUCCUGUGGACUUUGCAACACCACAGAAAAUAUUGUUCUUUGUUAUAGGAGCUGAAUAUUUGAGAGAGAGCAACAUGAAGACUAAAUACUCUCACAUAUUCCUGGUGUCAAAAAUUCUUGUGUGGCAAGGAAACAGCAGUACAUCUCCUGAUCUCCAGACAGCAUGGGAACAGCUGAAUCAUCCAGUCCU